GUGACGACGAGGCACUACGGUGCUGAAGCAACAAAUGCCCUGCUUCCAGGAAAAGCCUCUAAGCAUCAGGUAACAUCAAAUCGUACCCCAAACCGACACAGGUGGUCAGGUAGAGAAUACCAAGGCGCUUGAGAGAACUCGGGUGAAGGAACUAGGCAAAAUGGUGCCGUAACUUCGGGAGAAGGCACGCUGACACGUAGGUGAAGUGAUUUACUCAUGGAGCUGAAGUCAGUCGAAGAUACCAGCUGGCUGCAACUGUUUAUUAAAAACACAGCACUGUGCAAACACGAAAGUGGACGUAUACGGUGUGACGCCUGCCCGGUGCCGGAAGGUUAAUUGAUGGGGUCAGCGCAAGCGAAGCUCCUGAUCGAAGCCCCGGUAAACGGCGGCCGUAACUAUAACGGUCCUAAGGUAGCGAAAUUCCUUGUCGGGUAAGUUCCGACCUGCACGAAUGGCGUAAUGAUGGCCAGGCUGUCUCCACCCGAGACUCAGUGAAAUUGAACUCGCUGUGAAGAUGCAGUGUACCCGCGGCAAGACGGAAAGACCCCGUGAACCUUUACUAUAGCUUGACACUGAACAUUGAGCCUUGAUGUGUAGGAUAGGUGGGAGGCUUUGAAGUGUGGACGCCAGUCUGCAUGGAGCCGACCUUGAAAUACCACCCUUUAAUGUUUGAUGUUCUAACGUGGACCCGUAAUCCGGGUUGCGGACAGUGUCUGGUGGGUAGUUUGACUGGGGCGGUCUCCUCCUAAAGAGUAACGGAGGAGCACGAAGGUUGGCUAAUCCUGGUCGGACAUCAGGAGGUUAGUGCAAUGGCAUAAGCCAGCUUGACUGCGAGCGUGACGGCGCGAGCAGGUGCGAAAGCAGGUCAUAGUGAUCCGGUGGUUCUGAAUGGAAGGGCCAUCGCUCAACGGAUAAAAGGUACUCCGGGGAUAACAGGCUGAUACCGCCCAAGAGUUCAUAUCGACGGCGGUGUUUGGCACCUCGAUGUCGGCUCAUCACAUCCUGGGGCUGAAGUAGGUCCCAAGGGUAUGGCUGUUCGCCAUUUAAAGUGGUACGCGAGCUGGGUUUAGAACGUCGUGAGACAGUUCGGUCCCUAUCUGCCGUGGGCGCUGGAGAACUGAGGGGGGCUGCUCCUAGUACGAGAGGACCGGAGUGGACGCAUCACUGGUGUUCGGGUUGUCAUGCCAAUGGCACUGCCCGGUAGCUAAAUGCGGAAGAGAUAAGUGCUGAAAGCAUCUAAGCACGAAACUUGCCCCGAGAUGAGUUCUCCCUGAGACUUAGAGUCUCCUGAAGGAACGUUGAAGACGACGACGUUGAUAGGCCGGGUGUGUAAGCGCAGCGAUGCGUUGAGCUAACCGGUACUAAUGAACCGUGAGGCUUAACCUUACAA
RNAcentral lists this ribosomal RNA (1390 nucleotides) under Salmonella enterica subsp. enterica serovar Mbandaka. RNAcentral's name for it is "partial 23S ribosomal RNA". It matches the Rfam family "Bacterial large subunit ribosomal RNA", at positions 1563 to 2925 of the family's 2925-position model. The record is from RNAcentral. Lineage: Bacteria; Pseudomonadati; Pseudomonadota; Gammaproteobacteria; Enterobacterales; Enterobacteriaceae.